RNAcentral lists this ribosomal RNA (344 nucleotides) under uncultured soil bacterium. Its description in RNAcentral is "bacterial SSU rRNA". It matches the Rfam family "Bacterial small subunit ribosomal RNA", at positions 26 to 380 of the family's 1533-position model. The record is from RNAcentral.
AGAUUGAACGCUGGCGGCAUGCCUAACACAUGCAAGUCGAACGGGAGUAGCAAUACUCUAGUGGCGGACGGGUGAGGAAUACGUAGGAAUUUGCCCUUAAGUGGGGGAUAACCCGGGGAAACCCGGAUUAAUAUCGCAUGACCUCGAAAGAGCAAAGUGGGGGAUCGCAAGACCUCACGCUUUUGGAGAAGCCUACGUCGGAUUAGCUAGUUGGUGAGGUAAUGGCUCACCAAGGCGACGAUCCGUAACUGGUCUGAGAGGAUGAUCAGUCACACCGGAACUGAGACACGGUCCGGACUCCGUACGGGAGGCAGCAGGUGGGAAUUAGUUGGACAAGUGGGCGA